Molecule: ribosomal RNA, 372 nt
Filed under: uncultured organism
Description: partial 16S ribosomal RNA
Rfam family: Bacterial small subunit ribosomal RNA
Source: RNAcentral
GUAGGUGGCAAGCGUUGUCCGGAAUUAUUGGGCGUAAAGCGCGCGCAGGUGGGUCUUUAAGUCUGAUGUGAAAGCCCCCGGCUCAACCGGGGAGGGUCAUUGGAAACUGGGGAACUUGAGUGCAGGAGAGGAAAGUGGAAUUCCACGUGUAGCGGUGAAAUGCGUAGAUAUGUGGAGGAACGCCAGUGGCGAAGGCGACUUUCUGGCCUGUAACUGACACUGAGGCGCGAAAGCGUGGGGAGCAAACAGGAUUAGAUACCCUGGUAGUCCACGCCGUAAACGAUGAGUGCUAAGUGUUGGGGGGUUUCCGCCCCUCAGUGCUGCAGCUAACGCAUUAAGCACUCCGCCUGGGGAGUACGGUCGCAAAGACUG